GGAUACUAGUCAGAUUUGUUUCUGCUGAGCCAUGACAGGAACUCUUAGACUCCCUAGAAUAUUAAUUUCAGGAAAGAGGGUCAUAAUCUCUUUUGGUCAAUAUUCUAGCUACAGUAUUUUAACUGACUUUCUUGAUAUCACUAGCAAAAGACGUGGACAUGUUGCCUCAAUUCUUUCACGAGUCCAGGUUCCUCAUUUAGCCAUCAGUGGUACCUGAUACCUUUUGCGACACAACAUUGGAGGAAGGAUUGAGAUACCUUGUUAUAUCAUGGGGGAUGUGGUAGCCUUUGUCAUCAUGGAUAUGGAUAGGGCAAUAUUUUUUCUCAAGUGUUUGCUAAAAAGUCAAAAGGGUGGGCUAUAGUCUUGCUGGUCUGCCCAUUUCCUAGAUAUUUGAUUAGAGUACAAUUUUGCUGUUAUUGUUGUUUCCCUUAGUCAUUCUUUUGGUUCGCACCCAUUUGUGUGUCUAGGUUGCUAUCUUCUGCUCUAAGUCUGGGGUACAUGAAGCAAGCAGACAGUGAAAACUCAUCACUGUGUUGUUUCUUGGAUCUCAAGAUUCCAAGUCAGCUUCCUACAUUCUAUCAACCUUUCAGCAUUGUCUUAUGCUUGUAUUACAUGUAAUGCUCAAGGCUUAGAGUUGUACUUAAAAGAGGAACAGAGAUAAUGUAUGUCUAUUCCAUUUUUUAAACACUUGGGAACUAAACAAUAUACAUCUAAAUCCAUGGUCAAAGAGGAAAUUUUGAAAAUAAAAAAUACAUUAAGAUAUGAAUAAACCUACCUGAGUAACUGAAAAAGGCAAUGAGUGAGACCUGUCUCAAAGAUGUCUGAAUCUACCAACAGCUCAAAAUUUAGGUGUGCAGCCAAGAGAUGCUAUUUCUGAGAAGACUGCUGAAAAUUUUCUCUGACUGGUCGCCAUUGCAGAGAUAUGACCACUGAUGGGAACUGUAGUUGACAGAAAUCACCAUAGAGAGCUCUAAGUUGAAUACAAAAUGGGAAAAGAUUCACAUAUUGCAAAAGAGUCUACUCUGUUCCAGGUUUCAGAAAUGUCCUGUCCUGAGCUUCUUCUGAGGAAAACUGCCUGUCCAAAUUUCUGCAGCAUUGUAACAAUUCUAAGCAGCUCUUUACAUACUUUCUGCACCAAAUCAUCGUCUCCCUAACCAUAACUCUUUGGACUAAGAAUACAGGUUGAUUAAAUAAAAUAGGAAAUUUGAUGCUUCAUGAUUUCUAAACUAGAAGCAGACAAGGUUUAAUUGCCAGAGAAUACAAUUUUAUGGAUGAUAUAGUAAUAGAAGGUUGUCAAUAUAUUAAGCUAUUAUUGGAUUUGGGGAACGAUUGCUGUGGUCUGUUGACACUCUUCACUGAUUGACUUUCUCUGAGAAGAUCAGAAUCCCAGAGCUGAUGGUCAGGGAUGGGCAGUGACUACUUGGGUCACUAUAACUCCAGGACUAAAAGAAGAAAAUUCUCUGCCUAUCCUCCCUAUCUCAAGUUUUUCCCAUGAGCCUAAGUAGAUAGGUAGAGCAAUUAGAAUUAUAAUGACAUGAAUUAUCAACUAUGUAGACCUGUCCAGAGCUAGCUAUUGAGUAAGAUGUUUUCAAUUGCUCCAGAGUUGUUAAGUAUGUAGGCUUAGAUUUAGAUAUUCAUUCAAAACUCAUAGCCCCGCCUUUGUGUCCUUUCUGUAACUACACCUAUCUUGCCUCUUAAUAGAUCUUUUGAGAAGUUCAGUACCAACUUUGGGUAGCCCACUGUUCUGAUUACUUCCAUAACAAGAUUUGAUUUAUAUCUGGUAUAAUCAUGUCAUUACAAUGUAGGAGAGAGAAGGUCAUAUUGUUCACCACCUGCUUAUUUAUUGCUUCUUUGGUCCUAACCCUAAUACCACUUGACUUUAUUUUCAAGUAUGUACAGGUCAUAUCAUACUGUUUAUAGAAGCAGGCUUUAACUUUCUAUCUUUUGGAUAGCAAUUUAAAUUAAAUUGAUAUAUUCUGGCUUUCGUUGUCUUUGUGCUGUUGAUUUUAUUUCAGUUUUACACCAGUUCUUCAAAAUUUAUCUGCUUAUUUUUCUGAUGCUUUUAGAAAUCAACAUACUAAUAUAUUUCAUUAUCUACCUGAUUAUAGAUCAGUGGGAUUAGGAGUCCAUUUAAUAUAAAUAAAAGCAAUGGAUACAUUAUGGAUGGAAAAUUUAAGACCAUUUGUUUAGUUUUCCCUUCUAAACUAAUAUCCUAUUGAAAGCCUCUGUAAUAUGAAAAUUCUGGAGAUCUUUUAAAUAAAGCUUCAUUAUUUGAGGUUA
This is a non-coding RNA of Sus scrofa (pig), 2280 nucleotides long. NCBI's taxonomy places the organism in Eukaryota, Metazoa, Chordata, Mammalia, Artiodactyla, Suidae. The record is from RefSeq and is a predicted model, not a curated record.